GGCAAGCGGAUCUCUUAAAGCCGUUCUCAGUUCGGACUGCAGUCUGCAACUCGACUGCACGAAGCUGGAAUCGCUAGUAAUCGCGGAUCAGCACGCCGCGGUGAAUACGUUCCCGGGCCUUGUACACACCGCCCGUCACACCAUGGAAGUCUGCAAUGCCCGAAGCCGGUGGCCUAACCACUUAUGUGGAAGGAGCCGUCUAAGGCAGGGCAGAUGACUGGGGUGAAGUCGUAACAAGGUAUC
RNAcentral lists this ribosomal RNA (243 nucleotides) under uncultured bacterium. Its description in RNAcentral is "partial 16S ribosomal RNA". It matches the Rfam family "Bacterial small subunit ribosomal RNA", at positions 1262 to 1500 of the family's 1533-position model. The record is from RNAcentral.